UUUCACUCAACUGCUAGAACGAGGCUUUAGGCUCCAACGCUUCCGGUUAAGCCUACCGUGAUUUAGCGAAUAACUUCAGCAAAGUCCGCGGACAGGUAUAUCGACAGAGCACGAACUAAUAUCCUGUCCUUGGGAACACCGAUCGACCUUUUUUCUUAUUGGGUCAGGGUUAGGGUUACUUACUAGGUCAGAGUUCAGUAGUUUUUGUAUCAGACCAUAUUCUGACUUAUCCCUGUCCUCUCAUUUACAUAAAGAAGAGUUUUCUUUACCUUAGAAACUCUGUUACACAUUACCUAAUCUUACAGCAGCCCUCCCGCAUUGCAACACAUUCUUCGACACCUAUUUCAGAGUUCAUGGGGUCAGGACUACUUUCGUCCACUUGAGGGGAGUAUGUAGGUCAAGCGCAAGGUCAUGAACCCUCCAACCACAUGGUUGACGGACAGCAAAGAGUAGUUGACUGAAUCACAGCUGCGGUCAGUAACAGCGAUCAUCAUAUCGGACUCCUUUGUUGCCUCUCCUGUUUCCUAACAGACGCCCACAACGGGCGUAGAUCGCGUCUGCUGGAGAGAGAAGGAUGACUCACUUUGUCGCAAAGGUCCCUCGGUUGUCUGUCUACUUAUAACCGUGGAAAGAAGAACAAAAGAAACCUUGACUUUGGGCAAACAAGACCCCGGGUGCAAUCUUUGUUUCGCCCAGCUAACGUGGAUCACAGCUCACAACACUUCUGUCCAGCAGUCUCGACCAUCAAAAGCUCGCCGGCAUGGAGUGUUCUGAGUGCAAAGGGCGAUUACGAGAACCCAAGGUGUUCUGCUGCACCAGGCUGUGCAAGCGUGUCUUCAGAAGCACAUCGACAGUUCCGGCGAGAGGGCAGUCACGUGCCUGGUCUGCCGCGCAUGCGUGACGGUGCCGGACAAAGAGCGUCCCAAAGACACUGGGCUGAGCAGUUCCGCACCGAUGGCUUCCUGCUGCGCUUGCAGGGGGCAGGGGGUCAGAUGUCGCGGAAACACGACUGUUUCGUGUGCGCAGGCUCCCGCCAUGAGAGCAAGGAGGCCACCGUCUACUGCUUCGACUGCGACAACUACUUCUGCGGCGCCUGCAACCAGGUGCACCUGCAGCUGCGGGGAUUCGACUCCCACUCCACGGGCGUGCUGGAGGAGUUGCUCCUGAAGGACAUGAUGACAAGACGGCGCGCCUUCUGCUCCGUGCACACCAGCAGUCCACGUGGACAGCUUCUGCAGCGAGUGCAACGCGCUGCUGUGCAAAAACUGCGUGCACGAGAAGCACCUGAACUGCCUCGUGCAGCCCAUGUCAAAGAUCGCGAAAGAAAAGCGACAGAUGCUUGUGAUCUGAAGAAGAAGUUGGAGCAGGUCAUCAAACGAGUGGAAGAUGAAAAUGAAGACCUGCAAGACAGAGAGACCUGGAUGAUGACAUGUGCUCAGCAACGACGAGAAGAGAUAGAGCUGGCCUUCAGUCGCAUCGAAGCUGCUGUCGCAGAAAGGAAAGCUCGUCUCCUUGCAGAAGUCGAAGACAACAUUUCUAAUCACAAAGAAUGUCACCUGAAAGGAGAACCAUUCCAGACUUUGGUUGGCACCUUAAAGAGAAACUGUGCGCUGGCUGAUGAAAUACUGGGUUGUGGAUCUGACUUUGACAUCUUGGAAUCUGCCGACGAUUUGGCGCGCCAGUGCCGCUCGCUCCACAAGAUGAGCCAGAAGGAAUCAACGUUGGGUGCUGACAUCCGAAGAACAAAAUCGCCCGUGGAUUCCUUGUCAGUCAACACGUUAAUCACAAUGAUCGGGCACUGGGCAAUAAUAAGAUUGACCAGCUAGUGGCCUUCAAGACUAGGGAGGUGCCUGUUGUCAUGCGCGAGGACAAAGCAUCGCCCAAAAUCGCGAAAAUCCUGGUGGUCGACAGCAGCAUCCUUCUUGUAGCGGACAGCGCCAACAGGUGCAUCAAGUCCGUGGUGUCGCUGCCAGGUGAGAGGGACUGCCGGCUACACCGCUUGGACCUGGACACCCGACCACGAGGGUUGACGCUGCUGAAGACCCACAUUCGCAGUCGUGUCUGGUCGCCAGAGUCUGCACAUCAUCACCAUCACGGAUGAGCAGCUUUCCAUUAAGGUCACAGUUUCAACCCAACAGGACUACUGGGAUAUCGCGUCCGUCAACUCCAUCAACGUGGCCGCUGUCUGCAAGCAGCCGCCCUGCAUCGACAUCAUCGACAUCGCCGGCACCCGCCUCCGCACCGUUGAGCCGGUCGUGUCGGGCGUGAUGUUGUUCAAGCAGCCAUCGGUCGUCGCCGCUGGACCAAACGGUACAAUCUUCGUGACUGACCGCGAGAACAAGACUCUCGCGUGUCUCGACCUCCAGGGUCGCGUACGCUUUGUGUAUCGAGGCGACGAACGAGAAGAACUAACAGAUCCCCGAGGCGCAUGCGUGGACGAAAGAGGCUGCGUGUUUCUGUUGGACUCGAACGACGUAUAUGUCAUCUCCUCCCAAGGGAAGCAAAUGUCCAAGGUUCUGUCCGGGCUUCUCAAGCCAAAGACGAUAAGCGUCGGCGCGGACAAUGUUAUGGCCGUAGCGAUGGAAGAACAAGGGAUCGUGCUUUUUGCCCUGAAUGAUAUGAAAGGCUCACAUGUCUGAAAACCCACUCUUUGGCACUCAUAUAAGUUGAAAAUGAAACGAUUGCCAACGACUUACUUCCCAAGUUUGAUUUACAUAAAUGUGUUUGUUCAGAGGCUAUGAUACCAUGCAAACUGCUCGGCUUUCAAGAUUAAGCAACUGUUAUUAUUUUUACCCUGAAUAUAUCUGGUGACCUCUCUCACUCUCAGCCACUAAAAUCGCUUCUAAAUUUUUCAAUAAAAGGCACAUUUCUUUUUUUGUGUGUGAAAAAGCGAAACUUU
Molecule: unclassified non-coding RNA, 2899 nt
Filed under: Pomacea canaliculata
Lineage: Eukaryota; Metazoa; Mollusca; Gastropoda; Architaenioglossa; Ampullariidae
Description: uncharacterized LOC112576705, transcript variant X1
Source: RNAcentral